AGCUAUUCCGCUUUCCUCUUUCCUUGAUUUCUCUUCGUAAAAGGCAUAUCAAGCUUUGGAAUGGAAAAUCCUCUAUGCUUCAUCACCUUCUCUGUCACCCUCUUCAUAAGUGGGCUAACAUUAGCCGUAGACCCACCAUGCCGGACCACAUGUGGUUCCCUACAGGUUAAGUAUCCUUUCGGCACCGCCUACGGCUGUGGCUCACCCCGGUUCUAUCCCUACAUAACCUGCGCAUCCAGCGGAGAUCAGCUUCAACUUACCACCCACACAGGCUCUUAUCCUGUCACCUCCAUAUCCUACACCGCCUCCACCAUAACCAUCACUCCUCCUUCCAUGUCCACAUGCACCACCAUGCACCAGUCAGCCAACUUCGGCCUAGACUGGGCUAGCCCAUUCCAGCUUGGCCCAUCAACUUUCAUCCUCCUCUCAUGUCCACCACCAACCUCUUCCCUCACCAUGAAAGGAUCACCAGUCUGUGAAACUUCCUCUUCCUACCUCUGUGCCUCGAUAUACACAUGUCCGGCAGUAAUUGGACUUGGGUUGCCGCUUUUUCCACCUACAAAUACAUGCUGUGUGUAUGCUCCGGCGAACUUCAACGGCAAAAGUGAACUUGAUCUCCACUUGAUGAAGUGCUUGGGGUAUGCAUCAGUGGCAUCUCUUGACGAUUACCCGACAGACCCGAGCCGUUGGGAGUAUGGGGUGGUGCUGAACUAUAGAAGUGGAGCUUUUGAUGAUUUUGACGUGGAUAAUAAGUGUAACACAUGUGAGAGUAGUGGCGGCGUAUGUGGUUAUGCUUCGCCAGGAAACUCCUUCGUGUGCUUAUGCAGCAGCGGAAUAAACACCACUACGGACUGCAAUGGCUACAGCCAGUAUCUGGGAUUCACUUGGAGCUCCAUUUCUGCCAGACUAUCAUGCACGAUUUGGUUGGGGAUUUUAGCUGGUCUAAUUUUCAUUUGAGCAACUUGAUAUAUAUAUAUAUAGGGAACUUAAUUUAUUGUUAGAUGAUGCUUGGAUUUCCUCUCUGUGGGAUUGGUGUGAUCUUUUUCUAAGAAAUGACCCUUUGUAAUGGUAAGUGAAAGUUGUAAGGCAUUAAAGUUAGGUCACAUUUGGUGGAGCUCAAAAGAAGGAAUAAAGGUGGAAAGGGACGAGCAUAUAUGCACUAGGAAGGUUAGUGUAAUACUUAUAGACUAUAAAGUAAGAGUAAUUUCUAUUUUAGGUUUAUUUGAUUUUGAUUGGAAACGGAAUUUGAGACUAGCACCCUGGUAAUUACUCCCUCUUUCGACCAUUUUUAUCCAUUUUUAUUUGUUGUAUUUAAAAUUUUCUUUCAUAUAAAAUUAUCUGUCACGUUUAGAAAA
RNAcentral lists this unclassified non-coding RNA (1355 nucleotides) under Hevea brasiliensis (rubber tree). Lineage: Eukaryota; Viridiplantae; Streptophyta; Magnoliopsida; Malpighiales; Euphorbiaceae. The record is from RNAcentral.